GCAACAGUUACUGUCAUCGAUCUAACCUGAAUGGACUGUAUCUGAAUGGAUCGCACAAGUCAUUUGCAGAUAGUAUUGAGUGGUACAGUUGGAAAGGUUACAACUAUUCCCUCAAGAAGACACAAAUGAUGAUUCGACGUCGCCGUUAACAUGAUAGUAUAUGUAAUAACUGAUGAUACUGAUUGUCAUUAGACGUAGAAACAAAUGAUGCUAAUUGUGACUUGGGAUAUAUAACAACAGGAAGACACAUUUGCUCUCGUUUACAGCAUGCAAAACAUAGAUUCAGAACACUUAUUUCAAUCAAUAACAUUUUGCAUUUCUAGACUGCAAAUACACUGUGCAUUAUAUAUUUUGAGACAUCUUAUCAACUUUUAAUAUUCAAUAAAGUGUGG
Molecule: long non-coding RNA, 392 nt
Filed under: Mytilus galloprovincialis (Mediterranean mussel)
Lineage: Eukaryota; Metazoa; Mollusca; Bivalvia; Mytilida; Mytilidae
Source: RNAcentral